This 324-nucleotide ribosomal RNA is filed under the name uncultured bacterium. RNAcentral describes it as "bacterial SSU rRNA". It matches the Rfam family "Bacterial small subunit ribosomal RNA", at positions 28 to 334 of the family's 1533-position model. The record is from RNAcentral.
GACGAACGCUGGCGGCGUGCUUAACACAUGCAAGUCGAACGGAGUACCCUCGAAAGAGAUUUCGGUCAAUGGAGAGGACUACUUAGUGGCGGACGGGUGAGUAACGCGUGAGGAACCUGCCUUUCAGAGGGGGACAACAGCUGGAAACGGCUGCUAAUACCGCAUAACGCAUAGGUAUCGCAUGGUACAGAUGCCAAAGAUUUAUCGCUGAGAGAUGGCCUCGCGUCUGAUUAGCUAGUUGGUAGGGUAACGGCCUACCAAGGCGACGAUCAGUAGCCGGACUGAGAGGUUGGCCGGCCACAUUGGGACUGAGAUACGGCCCAG